UUUAUACAUAAAAAAAUGUAUUUAUUAUGGUGUAAUAAUUUUUAAUACAAUUAAACAAAUUUUCCAAAAGAAAAAUAGAAUAUCAUACAUUUUUAAUACAACAUAAUAUUUAAUGCCGUGGAUGGGCUGGUUUUCGUCACCAAUUCUCUCAAAUCGGGUGUCGUGGAAGAUAUGGCUACUGGCCAUUCUUUUUCCAUCACUAAAUCACGUGGAUAUUUUGUCUUUAAAUAGCUUCGGAAAGUUUCUGGAUGCGUGCAUACGUGUACUAUAUAACCCUUUUGCUGAUUCGUUUUAUUUUUCGAUACCAAUUCGGAUUUAUUUUUUGCUUCGUCUCAAAAAUGAUGACUGAUUUUGGCUAAUUCUCGCGCUAGCGCCCCACAGUUUGAAAACACUGCCUUAAGGGAAAACAAUUAUUGAGCUUUCUAAAGUCCCAAAGAGGAAGAUAUAAAAACGACAUACGAAUAUGCCAUAUUGAUGUUGUUUAUUAUUUAAAUUCGAAAUAUAUGAUGUCUUAAAAAGUUACACAAUCUAUAUUAUUCAAGGUGUCUCCAAAGAUGGUGGCCAAACGUAACACGCUGGUCUGCCAUACCAUGACGAACAAGAUUUACAUGGGAACUUGUGUCCGAAAAUGUGAACGGCGACCGAUAGAGGGCGAUGUUCGCAGGCUUAUGGGA
This 674-nucleotide long non-coding RNA is filed under the name Androctonus crassicauda. Lineage: Eukaryota; Metazoa; Arthropoda; Arachnida; Scorpiones; Buthidae. The record is from RNAcentral.